GAGCGGAUGACGGGAGCUUGCUCCUUGAUUCAGCGGCGGACGGGUGAGUAAUGCCUAGGAAUCUGCCUGGUAGUGGGGGAUAACGUUCGGAAACGGACGCUAAUACCGCAUACGUCCUACGGGAGAAAGCAGGGGACCUUCGGGCCUUGCGCUAUCAGAUGAGCCUAGGUCGGAUUAGCUAGUUGGUGGGGUAAUGGCUCACCAAGGCGACGAUCCGUAACUGGUCUGAGAGGAUGAUCAGUCACACUGGAACUGAGACACGGUCCAGACUCCUACGGGAGGCAGCAGUGGGGAAUAUUGGACAAUGGGCGAAAGCCUGAUCCAGCCAUGCCGCGUGUGUGAAGAAGGUCUUCGGAUUGUAAAGCACUUUAAGUUGGGAGGAAGGGUUGUAGAUUAAUACUCUGCAAUUUUGACGUUACCGACAGAAUAAGCACCGGCUAACUCUGUG
This 448-nucleotide ribosomal RNA is filed under the name uncultured bacterium. RNAcentral describes it as "bacterial SSU rRNA". It matches the Rfam family "Bacterial small subunit ribosomal RNA", at positions 64 to 507 of the family's 1533-position model. The record is from RNAcentral.